CCUACGGGAGGCAGCAGUGGGGAAUAUUGCGCAAUGGGCGAAAGCCUGACGCAGCGACGCCGCGUGAGGGAUGAAGGUCUUCGGAUCGUAAACCUCUGUCAGCAGGGAAGAACGGUCACUGUGCUAAUCAGCAGUGAAUUGACGGUACCUGCAAAGGAAGCACCGGCUAACUCCGUGCCAGCCGCCGCGGUAAUACGGAGGGUGCGAGCGUUAAUCGGAAUUACUGGGCGUAAAGCGCUCGUAGGCGGUAUGUCAAGUCAAGGGUGAAAUCCCCGCGCUCAACGUGGGAACUGCCUUUGAAACUGGCAAACUGGAGUGUGUGAGAGGAACGUGGAAUUCCAGGUGUAGGAGUGAAAUCCGUAGAUAUCUGGAGGAACACCAGUGGCGAAGGCGACGAUCUGGCACAUAACUGACGCUGAGGAGCGAAAGCGUGGGUAGCAAACAGGAUUAGAUACCCUAGUAGUC
RNAcentral lists this ribosomal RNA (465 nucleotides) under uncultured bacterium. Its description in RNAcentral is "partial 16S ribosomal RNA". It matches the Rfam family "Bacterial small subunit ribosomal RNA", at positions 338 to 795 of the family's 1533-position model. The record is from RNAcentral.